This 1439-nucleotide ribosomal RNA is filed under the name uncultured organism. Its description in RNAcentral is "partial small subunit ribosomal RNA". It matches the Rfam family "Bacterial small subunit ribosomal RNA". The record is from RNAcentral.
GCUGGCGGCGUGCUUAACACAUGCAAGUCGAACGGAAAGGCCCUGCUUUUGUGGGGUGCUCGAGUGGCGAACGGGUGAGUAACACGUGAGUAACCUGCCCUUGACUUUGGGAUAACUUCAGGAAACUGGGGCUAAUACCGGAUAGGAGCUCCUGCUGCAUGGUGGGGGUUGGAAAGUUUCGGCGGUUGGGGAUGGACUCGCGGCUUAUCAGCUUGUUGGUGGGGUAGUGGCUUACCAAGGCUUUGACGGGUAGCCGGCCUGAGAGGGUGACCGGCCACAUUGGGACUGAGAUACGACCCAGACUCCUACGGGAGGCAGCAGUGGGGAAUAUUGCACAAUGGGCGGAAGCCUGAUGCAGCAACGCCGCGUGCGGGAUGACGGCCUUCGGGUUGUAAACCGCUUUCGCCUGUGACGAAGCGUGAGUGACGGUAAUGGGUAAAGAAGCACCGGCUAACUACGUGCCAGCAGCCGCGGUGAUACGUAGGGUGCGAGCGUUGUCCGGAUUUAUUGGGCGUAAAGGGCUCGUAGGUGGUUGAUCGCGUCGGAAGUGUAAUCUUGGGGCUUAACCCUGAGCGUGCUUUCGAUACGGGUUGACUUGAGGAAGGUAGGGGAGAAUGGAAUUCCUGGUGGAGCGGUGGAAUGCGCAGAUAUCAGGAGGAACACCAGUGGCGAAGGCGGUUCUCUGGGCCUUUCCUGACGCUGAGGAGCGAAAGCGUGGGGAGCGAACAGGCUUAGAUACCCUGGUAGUCCACGCUGUAAACGGUGGGUACUAGGUGUGGGGUCCAUUCCACGGGUUCCGUGCCGUAGCUAACGCUUUAAGUACCCCGCCUGGGGAGUACGGCCGCAAGGCUAAAACUCAAAGGAAUUGACGGGGCCCCGCACAAGCGGCGGAGCAUGCGGAUUAAUUCGAUGCAACGCGUAGAGCCUUACCUGGGUUUGACAUGGAUCGGGAGUGCUCAGAGAUGGGUGUGCCUCUUUUGGGGUCGGUUCACAGGUGGUGCAUGGCUGUCGUCAGCUCGUGUCGUGAGAUGUUGGGUUAAGUCCCGCAACGAGCGCAACCCUUGUUCACUGUUGCCAGCACGUUAUGGUGGGGACUCAGUGGAGACCGCCGGGGUCAACUCGGAGGAAGGUGGGGAUGACGUCAAGUCAUCAUGCCCCUUAUGUCCAGGGCUUCACGCAUGCUACAAUGGCUGGUACAGAGAGUGGCGAGCCUGUGAGGGUGAGCGAAUCUCGGAAAGCCGGUCUCAGUUCGGAUUGGGGUCUGCAACUCGACCUCAUGAAGUCGGAGUCGCUAGUAAUCGCAGAUCAGCAACGCUGCGGUGAAUACGUUCCCGGGGCUUGUACACACCGCCCGUCAAGUCAUGAAAGUUGGUAACACCCGAAGCCGGUGGCCUAACCGUUGUGGGGGAGCCGUCGAAGGUGGGACUGGUGAUUAGGAC